GUACCUUCAAGCUCUGCUUGGUGUUGGGUGUUUGUCUAGUCCGCGUGUCUAGACUCGCCUCAAAGUAAUUGGCAGCCAGUGUUUUGGUUUUGAAGCGCAGCACAAGUCGCGACUCAAGCCUAUAUCCACCAGCUUCCACAAGCCUAUUAUCAC
RNAcentral lists this unclassified non-coding RNA (153 nucleotides) under Pseudophaeosphaeria rubi. Its description in RNAcentral is "partial internal transcribed spacer 2". The record is from RNAcentral. Lineage: Eukaryota; Fungi; Ascomycota; Dothideomycetes; Pleosporales; Phaeosphaeriaceae.